GAGGAGGCUGGGGCCCAAAUGUCUGAUUACCAAGAGGGGAGGAAACUGGCAAGAUGAGGGUUGCUAUGUGACAUACAGAAAAAUAUGAUCAGGGCAGAGGAAGCAAUUGCUUUUGGCGGAAGCUUCAUCGGAUGGCAAUUUCGACACCAAGGCCUCCCUUCCCACCCUGAGCCUGCCCACUGGGGAAUUCCAGGAGAUGGCCCAGAGGAAGGGAGAGGGGAAGGCAACUGAGGGGAAGAGGCAGGGUCACCGCGGGCCCAUCCCCAACAGCCUAAGGACACAAACUGCACCCAGGAAGGAGUCUGACCUGUGGGCCUGGAUUCUGGGGCCCCAGAGAAGCCGCGGGCCCAGGACCGGGAAAGCGAGAAGAAAGUUUGGACAGAGCCCAGCAUGUGGGGUUACCUGUCUGUGCUGCCUGCUUUCCUGGCCUUUUCCGCUAUCACUGGAGUCUGGAGCGUCCGCCUGGAUCUGCAUUAUCCGUUACCACCAGCUCCGGGACUGGGGAGUCAGAAAAUGGUUUAACCGGCUGAUCCUGUGGACGGGGCUCCUGUGUGCCCUGGGCACCUCCGUGGUGGGCAACUUCCAGCAAAAGAACCAGCUGCACAUGCACCUGGUCGGGGCCUUCUUUGCCUUAUUCCUGGGCAACUCCUACUUUUGGCUGCAGCUUAUUCUUGUCUGGUACAUGAGGAGACUGCCCCAGCCUGGGCCCCCCUGGAUGGGGCCACUCCGUCUGGGCCUCUGCAGCCUCUGCACCAUCCUCUUGGUGACCAUGAUGAUCCUCCACUUCUGGCCGCUGCGUUCGGCCUCUGCCGCCUGCGAGUGGGCCAUCGCCAUGCUGCUGUUUGCACUUUUCGGCCUGUUUGCUGUGGACUUUUCUUGCCUGGACGGCUGCACCCUACACCUCCAGCCGGGCCACCUCAGCUCCCCGCCAGCCUCCCCCACCUCCCUGCAGAUUCACCUGUGAACAGUAGCCCGGAUGAUGAGGUCUGGGCCCCCUCCCUCCGUGCUGCCAUCAGGGCCACCCAGGAAAGACACGGACGCAGGCAGGGUCACGCGAAACCAGAAUUCCUUCCGGAGAGCAAAUCCGUACAGAAG
Molecule: RNA transcript, 1095 nt
Organism: Mustela erminea (ermine)
Lineage: Eukaryota; Metazoa; Chordata; Mammalia; Carnivora; Mustelidae
Gene: TMEM150B
Gene name: transmembrane protein 150B
Exons: 7
Source: RefSeq, a predicted model, not a curated record